This is a long non-coding RNA of Heterocephalus glaber (naked mole-rat), 1176 nucleotides long. The record is from Ensembl. NCBI's taxonomy places the organism in Eukaryota, Metazoa, Chordata, Mammalia, Rodentia, Bathyergidae.
GGAUCACUGAGUUAUAUAUCCCCAGCACUUUUAAAAUUUUAUGUUGAGACAGGCUCUUGCCAAGGUGCCCAGGCUGGCCCUUGAACUUACCUUCCUGACUCAGCCUCCAGAAGAGCUGGGAUUACAGGUGUGUGCCACCAUACCUGGUUGAAGGAACAUACUUUGUAUGGCCUAGUUGGUACCUGAGCUAGUACACCUGAUUCAUGUACCAUUCUUUAAUGAUCUUAUUUCCUCACCUGUUCCCUGCCACUACAGUGUAAAGCUGACAGGAUGAAAGAAAAAGUCCAUUUGGAAGAAUUAAGAUAGUACUAUAACUCCAGGGCUAUAGGUGGAAAGAUUGCCAUUAAAAAGUGUUAUAUCAGUGAGGAAAUCACUGAAUUAACAAAUGCCUACCUAUAUGAUUUAGAAAUGAACAUCAGUGUUGAAAACGUGCAGUGGAAUAUUAACUGCUUCCAAUAGCAAUAAAAAUAUUACAUUGAUUCUUAACAUUCUGAAGGUCCAGUAUAUAUAAUAUUAAACCCAACUUGCAAGAAUACAACUAUCCACUUGACCACACAUGCCAGCUGCUACAGUGAAGCUGAGCCAUUGUUUCUAGAAAGAAUAUGGUAAAUAACUUUUCUGUCAUUUAGGAAAUGACAGCAUAACAUCACACUGCAUAUUGAGUAAGCAUAAAUAAAUGAUGAAUACUAUAAAAUGUGUUUUUGUAAGAGAAAAAAAGGAUGUAAUUCACUCUGCACUAGGCAAAGAAUUUGCACCUGUAUUUGGGAGUAAGAAUCCAGGAAAAGGGAAAUAUGUCAAUACCAUAACGUACAAAGUUAGUGCCAGCAGUAUAUAGGGGAUUUGCUGGUAUGUCUAUGUUUCAUGUAAAGCAAAUUUAGGAAAAUAAAAGUAAAUGUGGCUUUGAAACUGCCAAGUCCCUUCUUUGAAUGCACAUGUGUAUGAUAACAAGGCCACUUAAAACAGAUUUUUUUUAAAGGUAGCAAGGUGAAUGCUCUAAAUUAUAAAUGCUACUGAACAUUUGACUCUAAAUAUGAAUUAUUUGAUUAGAGUCCUAGUACAAAAGCUGUAGAUCUUGGCUUCCUAUUAAUUUUCUCUAAAGACCCAAGGGAAUUUUCAGAGACAUACAAUGUCAGUAGCCUGUCAUAUCUUGUAAUAAAUGGCUGGUUUGUGUGGUUA